RNAcentral lists this ribosomal RNA (499 nucleotides) under Fusarium cerealis. RNAcentral's name for it is "eukaryotic LSU rRNA". The stretch from base 126 to 279 matches the Rfam family "5.8S ribosomal RNA". Lineage: Eukaryota; Fungi; Ascomycota; Sordariomycetes; Hypocreales; Nectriaceae. The record is from RNAcentral.
CCUGUGACAUACCUUAUGUUGCCUCGGCGGAUCAGCCCGCGCCCCGUAAAAAGGGACGGCCCGCCGCAGGAACCCUAAACUCUGUUUUUAGUGGAACUUCUGAGUAUAAAAAACAAAUAAAUCAAAACUUUCAACAACGGAUCUCUUGGUUCUGGCAUCGAUGAAGAACGCAGCAAAAUGCGAUAAGUAAUGUGAAUUGCAGAAUUCAGUGAAUCAUCGAAUCUUUGAACGCACAUUGCGCCCGCCAGUAUUCUGGCGGGCAUGCCUGUUCGAGCGUCAUUUCAACCCUCAAGCCCAGCUUGGUGUUGGGAGCUGCAGUCCUGCUGCACUCCCCAAAUACAUUGGCGGUCACGUCGAGCUUCCAUAGCGUAGUAAUUUACAUAUCGUUACUGGUAAUCGUCGCGGCCACGCCGUUAAACCCCAACUUCUGAAUGUUGACCUCGGAUCAGGUAGGAAUACCCGCUGAACUUAAGCAUAUCAAUAAGCGGAGGAAAAGAAA